ACAACCAAUAGUAUCAUUAAUCAUAGAAUUCAGACAGCACGGCACAGACUACCCCUAUCAUAUGAAAAAUUUUAUAUUAUUACAGAAGCGUACAGUGAAAAUAUUGCAACAAGUACAUUGUUGACUUCUGCAAUGGAGUCACAUCAGCACAUGAUAUGAAAAUUAAUUUAUUUUUACUACUAUGACGAGGGAGUUUGUUGGUGUACCAUCUAAACCUAAGCACAUCCCCACCUCUUAAAAGAAGUUAAGAAAACCACAAGAAACGUUCUACCAUAACCCAUGGCACAACUUAAUAUGAGAACUCUCACUAUCCCCUCUAUAUAUAGUGGACUGAAUUUCUAUGGAGUAUACCGAUGAAUAUCUUAGUCUGUUGCAUAGAAUGGCUCAUCAAUUGGUAGUACGGCGAAACAGAGUGGUCAACCAAAAUAAUGAAUGAAUUCCUCAGUUUUCCAGUAUGAACUUGAUUGGGACUAUUGUAACUUGCAGGUAGGGGUGAAAACGGUACGGAAACUUUCCGGAUUCCGGACCUAUUUUCGAAAACGGAAUCUGUCGGUCGGAAUUUUUCGGAAACGGAAACGAAUUCGGAAAUAUUUUCUCGGAAACGGAAUCGGAAAUGAUAAGCGCAGUUUCCGUCGGAACUCGGAAUCGGUCGGAAACUUUCCGGAAAUUUUCUCGGAAUUUCCGGAAAUUGUCUCGGAAUUACCAGAAAUUUUAUGACUGAAAUACCCUAGAUUAUUUUUUUAAGCACUAAAUAGUGAAUACCAAGGUGUUUGGCUGUUAUUUUUUUAAAAAAUAUUUGUUAUGCAAAUCUAAAAUUACAUAAGAAUAUUUUUUGUCCUACAUUGGGAUUUAUUAACAACAUUACUCUUUUAAACAUAGAUAAUUUAUUCAAUUGGAUUUAUCAGUUUGAGGGGUUUUUUAUUCCGAUAAAUUUUCGUUACCGUAUUCACGCCGGUUCGUUUUCGCUCCGUUUUCGGUUUCGAUAAUAUUCGAUUCCGUUUUCGUAUCCGGUAUUUCCGAUUCCGAUUCCGAUUCCGAUUCCGAAAAAAAUAUGAAAACGAAAACGAUAAAGAUGGUUUCCGUCCGUUUCCGUACCGUUUUCACCCCUACUUGCAGGUAAUUUAUGUUUGAACUUCAUUAGGACUAGUUGUAUAGUAAUUUAUGCCUCACUGAAAUCAACAGCACUAUCAACCACUAUUUUCCCCUCGGUAUGGGAGAGUAAGGUGGUUGGCAAGUUAAAUAAAUUGCAGUUGAAUGGCAUAUGUAGGUAGCUAUGGGUUCCGUACUCGUAUAAAAGAAAAAA
RNAcentral lists this long non-coding RNA (1303 nucleotides) under Oryza sativa (Asian cultivated rice). RNAcentral's name for it is "long non-coding RNA (OSAT_LNC001320)". Lineage: Eukaryota; Viridiplantae; Streptophyta; Magnoliopsida; Poales; Poaceae. The record is from RNAcentral.